RNAcentral lists this ribosomal RNA (497 nucleotides) under uncultured bacterium. RNAcentral's name for it is "partial 16S ribosomal RNA". It matches the Rfam family "Bacterial small subunit ribosomal RNA", at positions 28 to 507 of the family's 1533-position model. The record is from RNAcentral.
GACGAACGCUGGCGGCGUGCCUAAUACAUGCAAGUAGAACGCUGAAGAGAGGAGCUUACUCUUCUUGGAUGAGUUGCGAACGGGUGAGUAACGCGUAGGUAACCUGCCUUGUAGCGGGGGAUAACUAUUGGAAGCGAUAGCUAAUACCGCAUAACAAUGGAUGACACAUGUCAUUUAUUGGAAAGGGGCAAUUGCUCCACUACAAGAUGGACCUGCGUUGUAUUAGCUAGUAGGUGAGGUAAUGGCUCACCUAGGCGACGAUACAUAGCCGACCUGAGAGGGUGAUCGGCCACACUGGGACUGAGACACGGCCCAGACUCCUACGGGAGGCAGCAGUAGGGAAUCUUCGGCAAUAGGGGCAACCCUGACCGAGCAACGCCGCGUGAGUGAAGAAGGGUUUCGGAUCGUAAAGCUCUGUUGUAAGUCAAGAACGGGUGUGAGAGUGGAAAGUUCACACUGUGACGGUAGCUUACCAGAAAGAGACGGCUAACUACGUG